RNAcentral lists this ribosomal RNA (503 nucleotides) under uncultured bacterium. Its description in RNAcentral is "partial 16S ribosomal RNA". It matches the Rfam family "Bacterial small subunit ribosomal RNA", at positions 30 to 523 of the family's 1533-position model. The record is from RNAcentral.
AUUGAACGCUGGCGGCAGGCUUAACACAUGCAAGUCGAGCGGAGUGAUGGUGCUUGCACUAUCACUUAGCGGCGGACGGGUGAGUAAUGCUUAGGAGUCUGCCUAUUAGUGGGGGACAACAUCUCGAAAGGGAUGCUAAUACCGCAUACGUCCUACGGGAGAAAGCAGGGGAUCACUUGUGACCUUGCGCUAAUAGAUGAGCCUAAGUCGGAUUAGCUAGUUGGUGGGGUAAAGGCCUACCAAGGCGACGAUCUGUAGCGGGUCUGAGAGGAUGAUCCGCCACACUGGGACUGAGACACGGCCCAGACUCCUAUGGGAGGCAGCAGUGGGGAAUAUUGGACAAUGGGGGGAACCCUGAUCCAGCCAUGCCGCGUGUGUGAAGAAGGCCUUAUGGUUGUAAAGCACUUUAAGCGAGGAGGAGGCUCUUUUGGUUAAUACCCAAGAUGAGUGGACGUUACUCGCAGAAUAAGCACCGGCUAACUCUGUGCCAGCAGCCGCCGUAA